This 1374-nucleotide long non-coding RNA is filed under the name Sorghum bicolor (sorghum). Its description in RNAcentral is "long non-coding RNA (SBIC_LNC001409)". Lineage: Eukaryota; Viridiplantae; Streptophyta; Magnoliopsida; Poales; Poaceae. The record is from RNAcentral.
UUAGUACUUGUAAGUUCUAACUAACUAAAGAGAAAAGGAAACCUACUUUAUAAAUCACUUCAGUUUAACUGAAGGAAAGAUGUAACACUGUAGUCAAAUGUACUGUAGUCAAAUGUAUAGAUAAAGCAAACAAAAAAAUAUCAAACCUUGGUGUGUAGGAAAUAGAAAAGAGGGUUGGAGUGUAGAUGGCAUGGGAGGCCAUAGCCAAGACUCUAAGAUGCAUGCAGAUGGUGAAGGACUAGAAAUGGUGACCAGAGGGGGGGUUGAAUGGGAGCCUCAAAUUUCUUUCAAAAUAUUUACCCACUAUCCCAUGUUCAAAUCCCAAAAGUAACACACACAAGCCUCACAUAAAAGCGUAAGAUCCACGACUUACAAGUAGCUAGAUACCUCAGGCAAAGUCUAACUACACUGGAGAACACUCAGAAACCAAAGAAAAUGAACCCCCAAAGAGCAAACCCAAACUAAACUCACUAUAGUUUACCGAACUGUCUGGGGUCCAGUGGCAGACUGUCCACGGCUCAAGGGUCGGACUAUCUAAGACAACUUGUCAGACUGUCCACUGACACUAACCGGAAAAUAGGACAGCAUGCAAUAGUCCUUGCACUACUCAGAUAGAACUACAAUAGAAUAUUUGUGCUUGGUGCCAGACUAUUCGUUGUUCAAAAUUCGAGAAACACACCGAGAAAUACAAGUUCUAGACAUACUGAACCAUGAUCAGCAAACUAUCCAUGCCUUGGUGGUAGAUUGUCCAUGACUGGGGUAUUGAACAGAGCUGAAGCUCCUCUAUGCUCACCUCUGAUUCAGAACUAUCUGAGGUUUGGACCUGGACUGUCCAGGACUCGCAUAACAGAGACAAAAAUAGUCCCAUAAAAACACCUCCUCUCUUGACCUUCUCGAUUUACAGCCGAAUCAGCAUCAACUGCCACCAAACUUGUAACACAAGAUCACAAGGUAGUAGGGGAGUUAUCACUAAGAGAUCAUCACUUAAUUUGAAGCCAAUCAAUAGGAAGUCAAAGGGGAACAAAAAACUCAAGAACUCAAGCCCUAGACCAUGAUUCGACUCAAUCUGUGAUCUCAUGAGAAAUUUGUUGAUUUUCUUCAGUGGAAAGACUCAACUCCCAUCAUAGAUCAAUCCCACACAAAAAGAACUGUUCAAAAUGAUCUCAAAACUAUGAAUCAAACCUCCAAAGAAAAGGGGCAAAGGGGAACUCAGGAAGAACCUAAAGAACACGAUUCACAAAGUGAAUCCCAUAGGACAAGGUGGUUAGGGCCACCUUUCCUACUACAAAGACAUGAUUCUUACACAAAUAUAUGAAUUUGUUGACCUCUCUCACUCAACAGCUCUAAGGGAAGGGGAAACCCAAAGAGGAUGAU